UACAGAGGGGGCAAGCGUUGUUCGGAAUUACUGGGCGUAAAGGGCGCGUAGGCGGCCCGUCAAGUCCCGUGUGAAAGCCCCCGGCUCAACCGGGGAACUGCACGGGAAACUAGCAGGCUUGAGUUCGGGAGAGGGAAGCGGAAUUUCGGGUGUAGCGGUGAAAUGCGCAGAUAUCCGAAGGAACACCGGUGGCGAAGGCGGCUUCCUGGACCGACACUGACGCUGAGGCGCGAAAGCUAGGGGAGCAAACGGG
RNAcentral lists this ribosomal RNA (253 nucleotides) under uncultured bacterium. RNAcentral's name for it is "partial 16S ribosomal RNA". It matches the Rfam family "Bacterial small subunit ribosomal RNA", at positions 524 to 776 of the family's 1533-position model. The record is from RNAcentral.